AUGUUAGCGGCGGACGGGUGAGUAACACGUGGAUAACCUACCUAUAAGACUGGGAUAACUUCGGGAAACCGGAGCUAAUACCGGAUAAUAUUUUGAACCGCAUGGUUCAAAAGUGAAAGACGGUCUUGCUGUCACUUAUAGAUGGAUCCGCGCUGCAUUAGCUAGUUGGUAAGGUAACGGCUUACCAAGGCAACGAUGCAUAGCCGACCUGAGAGGGUGAUCGGCCACACUGGAACUGAGACACGGUCCAGACUCCUACGGGAGGCAGCAGUAGGGAAUCUUCCGCAAUGGGCGAAAGCCUGACGGAGCAACGCCGCGUGAGUGAUGAAGGUCUUCGGAUCGUAAAACUCUGUUAUUAGGGAAGAACAUAUGUGUAAGUAACUGUGCACAUCUUGACGGUACCUAAUCAGAAAGCCACGGCUAACUACGUGCCAGCAGCCGCGGUAAUACGUAGGUGGCAAGCGUUAUCCGGAAUUAUUGGGCGUAAAGCGCGCGUAGGCGGUUUUUUAAGUCUGAUGUGAAAGCCCACGGCUCAACCGUGGAGGGUCAUUGGAAACUGGAAAACUUGAGUGCAGAAGAGGACACACUGGAAUUCCAUGUGUAGCGGUGAAAUGCGCAGAGAUAUGGAGGAACACCAUUGGCGAAGGCGACUUUCUGGUCUGUAACUGACGCUGAUGUGCGAAAGCGUUGGGGAUCAAACAGGAUUAGAUACCCUGGUAGUCCU
This 724-nucleotide ribosomal RNA is filed under the name uncultured Staphylococcus sp. RNAcentral's name for it is "bacterial SSU rRNA". It matches the Rfam family "Bacterial small subunit ribosomal RNA", at positions 89 to 797 of the family's 1533-position model. The record is from RNAcentral. Lineage: Bacteria; Bacillati; Bacillota; Bacilli; Caryophanales; Staphylococcaceae.